GCUGAGCUAAUUUAAUAAAAAUGUCUCUUUGUGGUAGAGGAUAUGGUGCCGCUACCGCUUAGUG
This 64-nucleotide transfer RNA is filed under the name Cryolaternula elliptica. RNAcentral describes it as "tRNA-His". The record is from RNAcentral. Lineage: Eukaryota; Metazoa; Mollusca; Bivalvia; Laternulidae.